Non-coding RNA from Stegodyphus mimosarum, 46 nucleotides. NCBI's taxonomy places the organism in Eukaryota, Metazoa, Arthropoda, Arachnida, Araneae, Eresidae. The record is from Rfam.
GAAAAGGCCCUUUUCAGGGCCAGAAAAUGAAUAAGAUUGAUUUUCU